Molecule: unclassified non-coding RNA, 313 nt
Filed under: Hevea brasiliensis (rubber tree)
Lineage: Eukaryota; Viridiplantae; Streptophyta; Magnoliopsida; Malpighiales; Euphorbiaceae
Source: RNAcentral
GGAAAAAAAAUUGUUUAAAUUACCAACAAUUUUAAAAUUCGUUGACAAUUUAUUGACGAAUUAUAAAAUCUAGUAGUAAUUUUUGAGACAAAAAAUAAUUAAUUUUAUUUUACUAAUAGAUUUCAAAUCUAUAAAUAUAUUAUCAACGAAUUUUGAAAUCUGUUAAUAAAUUUCAUAUGAAAAAAUCCCUCCUUUCCUUUUCAAAAGCUAGCCUUUUUUUUAUUUGCCAACGUAUUAACAACAAAUUUUCCGUUUGUUAAAAUUCAUUGUAUUAAUAUAUUUUUUCUCAACAUAUUAUCAAUAUAUUUUUUCU